This 209-nucleotide ribosomal RNA is filed under the name Theileria equi. RNAcentral's name for it is "partial small subunit ribosomal RNA". It matches the Rfam family "Eukaryotic small subunit ribosomal RNA", at positions 535 to 775 of the family's 1831-position model. Lineage: Eukaryota; Apicomplexa; Aconoidasida; Piroplasmida; Theileriidae. The record is from RNAcentral.
CCAGAAGUAUCAAUUGGAGGGCAAGUCUGGUGCCAGCAGCCGCGGUAAUUCCAGCUCCAAUAGCGUAUAUUAAACUCGUUGCAGUUAAAAAGCUCGUAGUUGAAUUUCUGCUGCAUCGUGGUUCUUCGCUAUGUCGAGUGAUCUUCGUUAUGGCUUAGUUGGGGCAUGUUUUCAUGACUCGACGUUUACUUUGAGAAAAUUAGAGUGCU